This 326-nucleotide ribosomal RNA is filed under the name uncultured eukaryote. RNAcentral's name for it is "partial 18S ribosomal RNA". It matches the Rfam family "Eukaryotic small subunit ribosomal RNA", at positions 1470 to 1796 of the family's 1831-position model. The record is from RNAcentral.
CCCUUAGAUGUUCUGGGCUGCACGCGCGCUACACUGAUGCACUCAACGAGUUUACGACCUUGCCCGAUAGGGUUGGGUAAUCUUUUUAAACUGCAUCGUGAUGGGGAUAGAUUAUUGCAAUUAUUAAUCUUCAACGAGGAAUUCCUAGUAAGCGCGAGUCAUCAGCUCGUGCUGAUUACGUCCCUGCCCUUUGUACACACCGCCCGUCGCUCCUACCGAUUGAGUGCUCAGGUGAAUAAUUCGGACUGCAGCAAUGUUUGGAUCCCGAACGUUGCAGCGGAAAGUUUAGUGAACCUUAUCACUUAGAGGAAGGAGAAGUCGUAACA